This 324-nucleotide ribosomal RNA is filed under the name uncultured eukaryote. RNAcentral's name for it is "partial 18S ribosomal RNA". It matches the Rfam family "Eukaryotic small subunit ribosomal RNA", at positions 1470 to 1796 of the family's 1831-position model. The record is from RNAcentral.
CCCUUAGAUGUUCUGGGCCGCACGCGCGCUACACUGAUACGUUCAGCGAGUAUAUAACCUUGAUUGGAAAAUCUGGGUAAUCUUUUGAAUGCGUAUCGUGCUAGGGAUAGACUAUUGCAAUUAUUGGUCUUCAACGAGGAAUUCCUAGUAGACGUAGUUCAUCAGACUGCAUCGAUUACGUCCCUGCCCUUUGUACACACCGCCCGUCGCUCCUACCGAUUGGAUGAUCCGGUGAGCUAUUCGGGCCUUCGCUUCGUCGAUUUUCGGCUUUGUGAGGGAAAGUCUCGCGAACCUUAUCAUCUAGAGGAAGGAGAAGUCGUAACA